GACGAACGCUGGCGGCGUGCUUAACACAUGCAAGUCGAACGGAAAGGCCCUGCUUUUGUGGGGUGCUCGAGUGGCGAACGGGUAAGUAACACGUGAGUAACCUGCCCUUGACUUUGGGAUAACUUCAGGAAACUGGGGCUAAUACCGGAUAGGAGCUCCUGCUGCAUGGUGGGGGUUGGAAAGUUUCGGCGGUUGGGGAUGGACUCGCGGCUUAUCAGCUUGUUGGUGGGGUAGUGGCUUACCAAGGCUUUGACGGGUAGCCGGCCUGAGAGGGUGACCGGCCACAUUGGGACUGAGAUACGGCCCAGACUCCUACGGGAGGCAGCAGUGGGGAAUAUUGCACAAUGGGCGGAAGCCUGAUGCAGCAACGCCGCGUGCGGGAUGACGGCCUUCGGGUUGUAAACCGCUUUCGCCUGUGACGAAGCGUGAGUGACGGUAAUGGGUAAAGAAGCACCGGCUAACUACGU
Molecule: ribosomal RNA, 467 nt
Filed under: uncultured bacterium
Lineage: Bacteria
Description: partial 16S ribosomal RNA
Rfam family: Bacterial small subunit ribosomal RNA
Source: RNAcentral